Molecule: transfer RNA, 73 nt
Filed under: Bacteroidales bacterium
Lineage: Bacteria; Pseudomonadati; Bacteroidota; Bacteroidia; Bacteroidales
Description: tRNA-Lys
Rfam family: tRNA
About the family: Transfer RNA (tRNA) molecules are approximately 80 nucleotides in length.
Source: RNAcentral
CUCUCCGUAGCUCAGUUGGUAGAGCAGCUGACUCUUAAUCAGCGGGUCCAAGGUUCGAAUCCUUGCGGGGAGA